GGUUAAGCGACCAAGCGUAUACGGUGGAUGCCUUGGCAGUCAGAGGCGAUGAAGGACGUAGUAACUUGCGAAAAGCGUUGGUGAGCUAGUAACAAGCAUUUGAGCCAGCGAUGUCCGAAUGGGGAAACCCGGCAGCAUAAGCUGUCAUCAAUACGUGAAUACAUAGCGUAUUGAGGCGAACGAGGGGAACUGAAACAUCUAAGUACCCUUAGGAAAAGAAAUCAACCGAGAUUCCCCAAGUAGCGGCGAGCGAACGGGGAUUAGCCCUUAAGUCUUUGGGGUGUUAGUGGAAUGUGUUGGAAAGCACAGCGGCACAGGGUGAUAGCCCCGUACAUGUAAACUAACCAGAGAUGAAAUCGAGUAAGGCGGCACACGUGAUAUGUUGUCUGAAUAUGGGGGGACCAUCCUCCAAGGCUAAAUACUCCUGACUGACCGAUAGUGAACCAGUACCGUGAGGGAAAGGCGAAAAGAACCCCUGUGAGGGGAGUGAAAUAGAACCUGAAACCGUAUACGUACAAGCAGUGGAAGCGGUUCUUGAGACCGUGACUGCGUACCUUUUGUAUAAUGGGUCAGCGACUUACAUUUAGUAGCGAGGUUAAGCGAAUAGCGGAGCCGUAGGGAAACCGAGUGUUAACUGCGCGUUUAGUUGCUAGGUGUAGACCCGAAACC
This 669-nucleotide ribosomal RNA is filed under the name Shewanella algae. Its description in RNAcentral is "partial 23S ribosomal RNA". It matches the Rfam family "Bacterial large subunit ribosomal RNA", at positions 1 to 722 of the family's 2925-position model. The record is from RNAcentral. Lineage: Bacteria; Pseudomonadati; Pseudomonadota; Gammaproteobacteria; Alteromonadales; Shewanellaceae.